This 497-nucleotide ribosomal RNA is filed under the name uncultured bacterium. RNAcentral's name for it is "partial 16S ribosomal RNA". It matches the Rfam family "Bacterial small subunit ribosomal RNA", at positions 28 to 507 of the family's 1533-position model. The record is from RNAcentral.
GAUGAACGCUGGCGGCGUGCUUAAUACAUGCAAGUCGAGCGAACAGACGAGGCGUUUGCUCCUCUCUCGUUUGCGGCGGACGGGUGAGUAACACGUGUAAACCCUACCUGUCAUACUGGUAUAACCUCGGGACACCGGAGCUAAUACCGUAUAAUCUCUUGAACCGCAUGGUUCAAUAGUGAAAGACGGUGUUUCUGUCACGUAUAGAGGGUUCCCCGCCGCAUUAGAUAGUUGUUAAGGUAAAGGCUUACCACGGCAAGGAUGCGUAGCCGAACUGAGAGGGGGAUCGGCCACACGGGAACUGAGACAGGGACAAGACUCCUACGGGAGGCAGCAGUAGGGUAUGUGCCGCAAUAGGGGAGAACCUGACGGAGCGACGCGGAGUGAGUGAUGAAAAUCCUCGGAUCGUAAAACUCUGUUAUGAGUGAAGAACAAAUGUGUAAGUAAAUAUGCACGUCUUGACGGUACCUAAUCAGAAAGCAACGGCUAACUACGUG